UUCGCAAUGCCCGAAAGGGUGACGAAGCGACGCCGCGUGGGUGAGGAAGGCCCUCGGGUUGUAAAGCCCUGUCAGGAGUUAAGAAAUGUAAGUGUGUUAAUACCACAUUUAUUUGACGAAGGCUCCAAAGGAAGCCACGGCUAACUCUGUGCCAGCAGCCGCGGUAAUACAGAGGUGGCAAGCGUUGUUCGGAAUUAUUGGGCGUAAAGAGCACGUAGGUGGGUUUGUAAGUCAGAUGUGAAAGCCUUCUGUUCAACGGAAGAAUUGCAUCUGAAACUGCGAAUCUUGAGUGUAGGAGGGGAGAAUGGAACUUCUGGUGGAGCGGUGAAAUGCGUAGAUAUCAGAAGGAACGCCGGCGGCGAAAGCGGCUCUCUAAGCUGUAACUGACGCUGAGUGUGCGAAAGCUAGGGGAGCAAACGGGAUUAGAUACCCCGGUAGUCCUAGCCGUAAACGAUGGGCACUAAGUAGAGGGGUUUUA
This 478-nucleotide ribosomal RNA is filed under the name uncultured bacterium. Its description in RNAcentral is "bacterial SSU rRNA". It matches the Rfam family "Bacterial small subunit ribosomal RNA", at positions 365 to 833 of the family's 1533-position model. The record is from RNAcentral.